Non-coding RNA from Chlorocebus sabaeus (green monkey), 5662 nucleotides. NCBI's taxonomy places the organism in Eukaryota, Metazoa, Chordata, Mammalia, Primates, Cercopithecidae. The record is from RefSeq and is a predicted model, not a curated record.
GACUUACAUUUCUAGCUUAAAUUCCUAGGAAUUUAAGGCCAGGAAGAUGGCUUCAUGCAUGUUAAGACGUGCAAAAGAUUUAUUUUUCCUAUGAUUUUUCUUCCUCAAGUAGUCAUUGGUAGGAAUUCUUGCUUUUCGUUUACACCUGUAAGAAUAUUAACAGACCAGAAAACAUGUGUUCAUUGGCUCUUACACUAUGUUAGGCACUGAAGCAGAUAAUUUAAAGGUUAAAAAUAUAUAAUAGUGGCUUUUUAUUCAUUCAUCCAAGCAAUAUUUACUUGAAUGCAUAUCAUGUACCAGGCAUCUGCUAGGGACUGGAUAUUUUUAAAAAAUAAUAAAACAAAAUAACAGCAAAAAAAAAAAAAAAAAAAAAACUAAGCUAGAUUGGGUCUCCUUUCUUAAGUUGUCUCCAGUCUAAAACCUUACUGUCUAAGUCAACAGUUCUCAAUCCCUUCUGAUUUUGCCCCCCAGAGGACAUUUGACAGCGUCUGGGGAAAUAUUCAGUUACCACUGCUAGGAGGAAUGGGGGAUGCUAUGGAAUGUAAUGGGCAGAAGCCAGCAAUGCUGCUCAACUUCUAAUAAAAUACAAUUCAGCCCCCAACAACAAAGAAAUUAUCAGACUCAAAUGUCGGUAGUGUCGAGGUUGAGAAAUCUGGCAAACCCACUGGGCUAUUCCUUACACAGAGAGCACUUUCUCCAUGUGUGAAUUAAACAAAGCCAGCUUUAAAGCCACCUCCUGCCCUCCCUCUAUUAGGUGGGUUUGGAAUAUUGAAGGGUCCCUCCCUAGCUGAGGGGAGAAUACAUGUUAUCCCCACUCCUCACCAUCACUUAGGUGGGGUGGCACUGUUCAGCAGAAGGUCAGCGAUUCUGUCGUCAGCCCAGACCAGAGACAUGUCCUGUUAAAUAAGUCUGCCCGAGAGAGAGGACGUGAGACUCUUCCUCUCUAUUAGAAGCAGCCAAACUUCUAUAGUCAAGGCCGGUUAAGCACAAAUCCUUUCAAACAAUAUUACUAAAAGACAAUGACACUCAUAAUUUAAGCAUAGUAUUUGCACCUAAAUUGAAACUACCAUAAAAAAUUCUAUUGUUUUACUUCUGUGUAAGUACUAACUACAAAGUCUGAAAGAAAAAGUAACCUUACAGUCAUGCUGUUCAAUGUAGCUACUAGCCACAUGCUGCUGUUUAAAUUAGUUGACAUUAAAUAAAAUGUCAAAUUUAUUCGUCAGUUGCACUAGUCACAUUUUAAGUGUUCACUAGCCAUGUGACUACUGGCUACUGAAUUGGACAGUAUGGGUAUAGGACAUUUCUGUCAUCACAGGAAGUUCUAUUGGACAGCAUUGUCUUAUAAGGCUCCACUUCAAAGGAUUCUUAUCAAUAUGCACAGUUAUUUCUUUAAAAAAGGCUUGUUUCCUAGCAACUGAGACACUGGGGCUAUGCUUUGCAUUAUCUCAUUAUCAUGGUCUGUUAGAAAGACACAGACAUGUUCUGCUGGGGGGACCACCUCUCUUCUGACAUGAAAUUUUUGUGAAGGGUUUAUGUAAUAGACAUGGGACAAUGUAUCAGAUGAUUGAAACUAUGAUUUUCCAGAAGAUGUAACAACGUAAAAUUCAAAUAGGUAACUCCUGUAAGGCAUUUCUGAUCUAAGUCAAGUGUGUAUUGUUAAAUAUUAAUUCCAUUAAAGUAUGUCAGCAGGGAAUUAAGAUAUGUGACCCAAAUAUAUUUCUAUUUAGUAGCUGAGUGUAAUAGAGAAGUAGUGCUCAGUGCAUCUCAACUGAAGAAGAGCUGGGAUGAAGGGAAGAGAGGAGGUUCAGAAUAUUUGGAAAAGAUUCUCCAUGUUAUUUUAAUGCACCCAAUCCAGGUAAGUAUAGUGUAGAGAUAUGGAAAGGAUAAUUGAUUUACCUUUCACUACUGUAUGAUUGUGGGGAGGGGGAAAGGCUGUGACUUUUAAAAGUCCCUCCCUUUAGAAAUUUUGAUUAAGUACAACUUUGAGUGGGGCUUAGAUAUUCACUCCAUUCUCUGUUGCUGUCUUUCCUUUCAAUGACCUACCUGUCUAUCCCUCCCCACCUGGUUAUUUAGGAUGAUCAACUGGCUUUAGAACAAUGACCUUAGGCAAUUGUUCCUAGUAUCAAGAGUCUCUAGCAAACUUUUGCAAACUGCAUAUCACAAUCUGUUCUUGGCUGCAUUUUUUUGAUCAGUGCCUGAAGUGAUGAUAUGUGUGCUUACUAAUCAAAACAAGUGUCUCAUGCACAGAGGAUGCAUUACCCAGAGAGGACACUCAACUGAAGAAAUUCAGGAAUCCAUUUACUACUUUUGCUCAGGCUGAAAGGCACCCCACUUCCACAGAAAGGUUCGCUAUGACUGUGUGAGCAGGGCUAAAAAUGUUCCCCUAAAGGACCUAUUCAAGCCAUUGGAUAACUCUUCAUGUAGAGAACCUAGAGUUUGGUAAUAGAGCUUUGUCCAUUUUUGUUAAUGUUAGAAAGCCAUUACUAGCCAUAGGGAAACCUAUCAGGCCAUCAGAAUGACACCUUGCUCUGCUCAUAGGUACAAAACUUCAACACUCUUCCGCCUUACCCAUAUUUAAGUCUCAAACUUUCACAUCAUGUUUUCAAGAUACGCUAGCCCUGAAUGGGUUUAUGUUUUUCACUUUCAUUUUCUCAAGUUGAUUUGGAAUAGCCUUGCUCCAUCCUUUUGUUUUCCUCAUUCCUGGUUUCAUAUUUUCUCCUGGUAGAAAUCUUUUCCCCCCGUAAUAUGUAAAAUGUUGAUCACUUGGAGUUUUUAAAGAAUAAGGUGGAACUCACAUCAUUGCGUAACCAUCCAGAAUGUACAUUCUUUUUGGUAGCAUGAUGUACAGCAUAUGACAUUAGAACAAAAUAUCCCACCACCCCCAGAAAAUGUCCAACCUUAGCUUCCUUCUCUUUUUAAGGACCUAAGAGCCUGGUGGUUGAUGAUGGAAGAGAUGAAACUGUGAAGAGACUGAAGAAGCUAGUUCAUCAAUAGUUAAGAAUCCAUUUCUAAAAGAUCUUAGUGAAUAUUUCUUCUUUGAGUCUACCUUUGCCUGGGAUGUCAAGAGAUCAUGAACUGGCAGCCAUGUGGAAGGAAGACUAGACUGAGAAUCACUUAGGAUCCUGCCCUCGGUUUAGUCCAGAAUACUCUGCCAAUCAGCUUUUUGGCCGCAGAUGGACAUUUAGGUUGGUUUCAUCUCUUGGCUACUGUGAAUAACGCUGCAAUGAACACUGGGAUGCAGAUAUGGGGAAAAGAUUUCAUGCUUAGGUGGUGUCUUGGUGUUUCUGUGACCCAAGCAAGGAGUUCCUGUGACUGUGUCGCACUGUUUCUUCUUCACACGGCUGGAAAUACGAUCGCCUCUCAAGGCCUAUCACAAAGGACUGGCCCUUUGCUACGGGUCGGCAAUAGCAAGGAGUGUUGCCAAGAUACAACACAAAACAAAACCUUUAGGUCUCCCUCUGGGUUUCUGGAACAGCUGUCUCUAGCUCAGCUGCUGAAGUUUCAACUCCUUCAUUGAAAUCCAAACACAUCUGUACCCCAGACAGGAAAAUGCCUAGUAAGUUAUUUUCCUCCAUGCUGGUUCGUCUUGUGGUUUUUGUGCAGCCCUUAAAGACAGUGUGAGUGCUGAGGACCUCAACAGGUCCUUUGCAAGGACAGAGGUGCACCCGGUGAUGGGUCACUCGUGGAGAAAAGUGUCAUGACACCUGGAUGUUCACAACCCUCAGGCUGUUCACAGCUUGCCAUGGCUUUGAAACAUCGUGUGGAGCUCAGACAAAUUCAGGCCUCACUGAAGUGUUUUCCUCAUGCAGGCAACCUACAUGCCUUCUCUUUCAUCUUUUUAUGAUUAUUUGGCAGAAUCCUUUUUUUAUUCAUUUAAUUUCAGAGCACAACAGUGAUAUUUAUCCCUUUAUUUAUAUGUCAGUUACCUGCGUUCAAAUGUCAAUUUUUAGUAUUGUGACUUGCUGUUUUAGGAAAUACUAUUUCAAACCAAAAUGUAUUCUUUCUUUUUUUUUUUUUUUAAAGGGUGAUUGUAGUGUCAAGUCAAACUUAACUCAUGUUCUAGGUAGAAGAGGUAAAAACAAAACGUUUUCCCUCCUUCAUAAUUAGGUUAUCUCUGCAGGUUCCUUUUCCAGACAGGAAAAACCCUUUCAGGGUAAUGGAGACCCAUGUUAUGGGUUCAUGGAACAGCAGGUUCUUCCCUUCCUGGGAAUACUUCCUAGCAGUGUGGACUCCAUGCUGGGCACUUCCACCAUGACCUGCAAUCUUGAGGCUUCUCUUAGAACUUGGUGCUCCAGAAUCACUGCAGCCUCGCCGGUUCUCCUGUAUCCUUCCUUCCUUGCCUCCUUCUUUAUUUAUUUAUGCUAACCAAAUGCCAUAGUUAACCAAGUCCUGUUCCUUGAGGAUUACUUCAGAUGCGUGUAGUUAUUUAUUUUAAUAUCUAAUUCCAUAUUCUAAAUAGAAUACUACCUCUACACACUUCUAUUAUGGUAGAUAACAAUUUCUCCCUUAAGUCCCUUUUCCCUUCCUUUAUCCUUCCAGUUUAUUACAUCGCAGUUUUCAAGAUUUGCAUUAUUCUGACAAUGGAAAUAUUUUCUGCUGAGCUAAGGAGCAUACUAUCAUUAUAACUCCUUUCUUGUUCUAUUAUCAUUUUUUCUAGAGCUGAUAAUUCACUCAUUUAAAAAAUGACUUAGUUUUCUCUGUCUGUGUUACUGUCUUUGCUUCCCCUAACAUUUGGCAAUAUUCAAGACAUUGUUUUCAUCACAGUAUCAGUGCCGCAUUUAAUUUUUUUAUAACUCUAUAAGGCAGGUAACUAUAAUCUGUGUUUUACAGAUGGGAAGCAUGAAGCACAGAGAAAUUAAUUGGCUCACAUAAGAUGGGAAGUGGCAGAGCCAGGACUUGAACCCAGGCAGUCUGAUUCCUGCACUCACGUUCCAAAGCACAAGACAUACAGUAUCUCGAUGUAUAACUACCUACAUUAGCAGCUGUACCACCUAAUCUAAUUAGUUGAAUUUUUUUUUUUUUUUAAUGGAGCUCUUCCUCCAUAUGUCUCUGGACCCUUGUUGCAUCUGUAUUGCUUGUUUUCUAAACCUAUGUAUGGUUAUCAUAUUAAGACUUAUUUUCAUUAUUGUCCAGGGAAUUUCUUUCGUCUUCCUCCUGUGUUGAUUCCUUAUUUUCUGGAUAUUGUUUUGUCUUUCUUGCAUUAGGUGAAGCUCAUCUUUUAGAAGACUUCUUGAGAAAAGGUGCGUGGGUGAAGAUUUCUUAAAUCUUAAAUGUCGGAAAACAUUUGUAUUUUUCCUUGCUAGUACUGAGUAUUUACUGCCAUUUUAUUCUUGGUCUUGUGUUUGUGACCUAUUGUUUCCUUUCUUGAAAGUUUUACUGUCUUCCUGGUGUACUGAAGUUUUAUGACACAGCUGGGUCUUUUUGCAUUUAUUGUGCUAGAUGCUGAAUAGGCCUUUUCAAUCUGGGGACUCAUGUUCUUCAGGUCCAAAAAAUUUUCCCAUAAUCUUUUUCUUGAUAUAUUUUUUUCUAGAUCCUAUUGGUAGGAUGUUGGGCCUGCUGCACUGGGCUUUUAGUUUCUUCUGAUUUGUCUUCUAUUUUUUUCUUAAUAUUUUGAGAUAUUUCCUUACCUUUAUUUUCCAAAUCUUACACUCACAUGCACACA